CCCUUAGAUGUUCUGGGCCGCACGCGCGCUACACUGAUGCAUUCAACGAGUCUAAAACCUGCUCUGAUAGGGGUGGGUAAUCUUUUGAAUGUGCAUCGUGAUUGGGAUAGAUGAUUGCAAUUUUUCAUCUUCAACGAGGAAUGCCUAGUAAACGCAAGUCAUCAGCUUGCAUUGAUUACGUCCCUGCCCUUUGUACACACCGCCCGUCGCUCCUACCGAUUGAAUGAUCCGAUGAAUAUCAUAGACUGAGAGUAUAAGCAGGUUCGCCUGUCUUUGCUUCUCGGGAAGUGAAGUAAAUCUUAUCAUUUAGAGGAAGGAGAAGUCGGAACA
RNAcentral lists this ribosomal RNA (330 nucleotides) under uncultured eukaryote. RNAcentral's name for it is "partial 18S ribosomal RNA". It matches the Rfam family "Eukaryotic small subunit ribosomal RNA", at positions 1470 to 1796 of the family's 1831-position model. The record is from RNAcentral.